Molecule: non-coding RNA, 173 nt
Filed under: Caldithrix sp.
Lineage: Bacteria; Pseudomonadati; Calditrichota; Calditrichia; Calditrichales; Calditrichaceae
Source: RNAcentral
AUCUUUUUUCAUUAUUCUGGUAUCGGGAAGCGCGGUGAAAUGCCGCCACUGCCCCGCAACUGUAAUGGAGAACCAAAACUCAGCAUGCCACUGUCCCAAAACGGAUGGGAUGGGAAGGCGAGUUAGUAGGAUGAUCCCAGAGUCAGGAUACCGGCCAGGAUAGAGUGAACCCG